UUAAAGGUCCAGCCUGCCCAGUGAAAAUUUUUUUAACGGCCGCGGUAUCCUAACCGUGCAAAGGUAGCGUAAUCAAUUGCCUCUUAAAUAGAGGCUGGUAUGAAUGGCUUAAUGAGGGUGCACCUGUCUCCUGAGAUCAAUUAAUGAAACUGAUCUUUCAGUACAAAAGCUGAAAUUCCCCCAUAAGACGAACAGACCCUGUGGAGCUUAAAACUUUAAUAUUACAAUUAAUAAACACCACUUCAUCGAAAACACUAUAAAAAUUCAAUAAUAUUAGCUUUUUAGUUGGGGCGACUGCGGAACACCAAAAACCUUCCAUGAUAACAGGAUUAUAAUCCAUUUAAGACCAACAAGUCAAAGAAAAACACACUGACCCAGUAUAAUGCUGAUCAUCGAAACAAGUUACCCCAGGGAUAACAGCGCCAUCCCCUUCAAGAGUCCAUAUCGCCAAGGGGGCUUACGACCUCGAUGUUGGAUCAGGACCACCAAGUGGCGCAGCCGCUACUAAAGGUUCGU
This 516-nucleotide ribosomal RNA is filed under the name Gekko verreauxi (Andaman giant gecko). Its description in RNAcentral is "partial large subunit ribosomal RNA". It matches the Rfam family "Bacterial large subunit ribosomal RNA", at positions 1846 to 2576 of the family's 2925-position model. The record is from RNAcentral. Lineage: Eukaryota; Metazoa; Chordata; Lepidosauria; Squamata; Gekkonidae.